GGCUUAACACAUGCAAGUCGAGGGGCAGCAUGGUCUUAGCUUGCUAAGGCCGAUGGCGACCGGCGCACGGGUGAGUAACACGUAUCCAACCUGCCGUCUACUCUUGGACAGCCUUCUGAAAGGAAGAUUAAUACAAGAUGGCAUCAUGAGUCCGCAUGUUCACAUGAUUAAAGGUAUUCCGGUAGACGAUGGGGAUGCGUUCCAUUAGAUAGUAGGCGGGGUAACGGCCCACCUAGUCUUCGAUGGAUAGGGGUUCUGAGAGGAAGGUCCCCCACAUUGGAACUGAGACACGGUCCAAACUCCUACGGGAGGCAGCAGUGAGGAAUAUUGGUCAAUGGGCGAGAGCCUGAACCAGCCAAGUAGCGUGAAGGAUGACUGCCCUAUGGGUUGUAAACUUCUUUUAUAAAGGAAUAAAGUCGGGUAUGGAUACCCGUUUGCAUGUACUUUAUGAAUAAGGAUCGGCUAACUCCGUGCCAGCAGCCGCGGUAAUACGGAGGAUCCGAGCGUUAUCCGGAUUUAUUGGGUUUAAAGGGAGCGUAGAUGGAUGUUUAAGUCAGUUGUGAAAGUUUGCGGCUCAACCGUAAAAUUGCAGUUGAUACUGGAUAUCUUGAGUGCAGUUGAGGCAGGCGGAAUUCGUGGUGUAGCGGUGAAAUGCUUAGAUAUCACGAAGAACUCCGAUUGCGAAGGCAGCCUGCUAAGCUGCAACUGACAUUGAGGCUCGAAAGUGUGGGUAUCAAACAGGAUUAGAUACCCUGGUAGUCCACACGGUAAACGAUGAAUACUCGCUGUUUGCGAUAUACUGCAAGCGGCCAAGCGAAAGCGUUAAGUAUUCCACCUGGGGAGUACGCCGGCAACGGUGAAACUCAAAAGGAAUUGACGGGGGCCCGCACAAGCGGAGGAACAUGUGGUUUAAUUCGAUGAUAUCCGAGGAACCUUACCCGGGCUUAAAUUGCAGAUGAAUUACGGUGCAAGCCGUAAGCCGCAAGGCAUCUGUGAAGGUGUUGCAUGGUUGUCGUCAGCUCGUGCCGUGAGGUGUAGGUUUAAGUGCCAUAACGAGCGCAACCCUUGUUGUCAGUUAGUAACAGGUUCCGUUGAGGACUCUGACAAGACUGCCAUCGUAGGAGGUGGGGAAGGUGGGGAUGACGUCAAAUCAGCACGGCCCUUAGGUCCGGGGCUACACACGUGUUACAAUGGGGGGUACAGAGGGCCGUUACCACGCGAGUGGAUACCAAUCCCCAAAACCUCUCUCAGUUCGGACUGGAGUCUGCAACCCGACUCCAGGAAGCUGGAUUCGUUAGUAAUCGCGCAUCAGCCACGGCGCGGUGAAUACGUUCCCGGGCCUUGUACACACCGCCCGUCAAGCCAUGGGAGCCGGGGGUACCUGAAGUGCGUAACCGCGAGGAGCGCCCUAGGGUAAAACUGGUGACUGGGGCU
Molecule: ribosomal RNA, 1434 nt
Filed under: uncultured organism
Description: SSU rRNA
Rfam family: Bacterial small subunit ribosomal RNA
Source: RNAcentral